GGGAAGGUGGCUCAGUGGUAGAGCGCUUGCCUUGUAUGCCUGAGGCCCUGGGUUCGAUUCCUCAGCCCCA
Molecule: transfer RNA, 70 nt
Filed under: Dipodomys ordii (Ord's kangaroo rat)
Lineage: Eukaryota; Metazoa; Chordata; Mammalia; Rodentia; Heteromyidae
Rfam family: tRNA
About the family: Transfer RNA (tRNA) molecules are approximately 80 nucleotides in length. Their secondary structure includes four short double-helical elements and three loops (D, anti-codon, and T loops). Further hydrogen bonds mediate the characteristic L-shaped molecular structure. tRNAs have two regions of fundamental functional importance: the anti-codon, which is responsible for specific mRNA codon recognition, and the 3' end, to which the tRNAs corresponding amino acid is attached (by aminoacyl-tRNA synthetases). tRNAs cope with the degeneracy of the genetic code in two manners: having more than one tRNA (with a specific anti-codon) for a particular amino acid; and 'wobble' base-pairing, i.e. permitting non-standard base-pairing at the 3rd anti-codon position.
Source: Rfam by way of RNAcentral